AUACGGAGGAUCCGAGCGUUAUCCGGAUUUAUUGGGUUUAAAGGGUGCGCAGGCGGCCAUUUAAGUCAGCGGUUAAAUCGUGGGGCUCAACCCCAUUCUGCCGUUGAUACUGGGUGGCUUGAUUGCGGUCGAGGUUGGCGGAAUUCGUUGUGUAGCGGUGAAAUGCAUAGAUAUGACGAAGAACACCGAUUGCGUAGGCAGCUGACCAGACCGCAAAUGACGCUCAUGCACGAAAGUGCGGGGAUCGAACAGGAUUAGAUACCCUGGUAGUCCGCACGGUAAACGAUGAAUACUUGUUUUCGGCGAUAUAAUGUCGGAGGCAAAGCGAAAGCGAUAAGUAUUCCACCUGGGGAGUACGCCGGCAACGGUGAAACUCAAAUGAAUUGACGGGG
Molecule: ribosomal RNA, 392 nt
Filed under: uncultured bacterium
Lineage: Bacteria
Description: partial 16S ribosomal RNA
Rfam family: Bacterial small subunit ribosomal RNA
Source: RNAcentral